Molecule: transfer RNA, 69 nt
Filed under: Diaphorina citri (Asian citrus psyllid)
Lineage: Eukaryota; Metazoa; Arthropoda; Insecta; Hemiptera; Psyllidae
Rfam family: tRNA
About the family: Transfer RNA (tRNA) molecules are approximately 80 nucleotides in length. Their secondary structure includes four short double-helical elements and three loops (D, anti-codon, and T loops).
Source: Rfam by way of RNAcentral
GCCUAGUUAGCUUAGAAGUGCGUCUGCCUUGUAAGCGCUAGGCCGCGGGUUCGAUUCCCGCCCGGGGCG